CCACUGUAUUCUCUUAAAAGUUAAAAUGUAAAUAAAUAAGUAUAAUUUAAUAUAGUAAUUAAAUAUGCACAUAGCAUGUCUGAGUAAGUGUUUACCAGUGUCCUUCCCUUUCAGGCCCCUGCAUUUUAACAUAGACUUGCCAGAGGAAGCUGGCUCAUGUGCAUUUUGUGAAGGAAAGUGAGCAGCAUGGGGUUGUCCACUGGAGACUCCAUAUGGCACACUGCAGUAUGCUCCUGUGUCCAAGGCUGAAACUUAGAACCAUAUCUCAGUUCUGGAUCUGGCAUCCAGGCCCAUCUUGAUCCUGGGUUUAGGAGACAGCCUAUAGCAUGCAGCUCCCUUUGAGACAUGUGACAAGCAUGUGGAUAAAGACCCAGAGUCUUCAAAGCUAAUUUCACCUCUGACAUCUGACCUCUUCAGUCAAUAUCCCUCAGUACUGGGUAUCUCAUAGGUCCCUGUUCCUCCUUCCCUGUGUCCUAUUGUCCUAGUUCAGACCCCACCUCUGUCACUCAUUGCCGGGACCACAGAACCAGUGGGAUCCUAGCCUUCAACUCUUCCUCUUCCCCACCAUUCCCACACUCACUCUAAAUGGGAAGCUGAUAGUUUGCCCCUUGCUGAAAAUUGUGCAGUGGUUUUACGUUGCUCUACAAGAUGAUUCGAUUCAGCAUCUGUCCUUCCAGGGUAUUUCAGUCUGCUUAGGUAGCAUCACACAAUACCUUGGACUAGAUGAUUUACAAUCAGUAAAAAUUUACUGUGCAUGGUUCUGAAGGUGGUGAAGUCCAGGAUCUGGCUCCUGAAAGACUGCAUGACUGGUAAGGACUUUAUCAAUGGUGCCUUCCUGCUGCAUCCUUGAGUGGUGGAAAAGGAAAGAGCUGCCCAGCCUGUCUCAGGAGGACUCUCAUCUCCUUCCUGUGAUUCAGUUUUGGCCUAAAGGCCCUGUCACUUACUGCCACCACCCUGGGGAUGAAGCUUCACUGUGUGCAUUUGCGGAGGACACCAGCACUGAGACCGCAGCCCCUGGCUCUGGCUUCCUGUCCAGCUUGCUUUCAUGACUGCUCUGGUCUGUGACUGCUGUCUCCUGCUCUUUCUACAAGAUCUGUCCAUGCACACCUUGGGUUCUGUGUGUCCUAGCUUCUGCUUUGCUGGCUUUUCUCCCUGGAAUAGAGUAUCCAUAUCUUCUUCCCCAACAAUUCGUUCUCCUACAAUCAGCCCAGGCUAGGUACCCUCGACCCCACCCUGCUGAGGCUGAAUGGCUCUCCUUUCUGCCCCAGCUCUGUCUAUGUGGUUAGACAGGGAGCUCUUGGAAGGCAGAGUCUGGUACCUGGAACUUGCAGGUAGCAGGUGCUCAAUAAACAUAUCUGGAUCCAAGCAGCCAGAACAACAGGGACUUGCUGACCACUUUGAUUUUCAUUUGAUCUUUUUUGGAAGUCUGAUGGAAGAAAAUGGCCAUAAUGUCUGGAUCAGAAGUGAGCAGGAAAGCAAAGACUCUGGGUAACCUGUCAAUACAAACUCAUCCCAGACAGCUGAUUCUAGUCCUCUGAGAUGGAAUCUGCUUUUUAUACACUGGAUUAGGAACAGAUCUUCUGUGAAGGUAGCUUUCUCCAGAGAAACAAAUUUAAGGAAUUUAAGAAUUUAAAUGAAAAAAAAUCCUGCUUAAAAGGCAAAUCAACCAAGAUCCUUUUCCUUUUUCUUAUUAAUAAAAGAAUUUACACAGAGGCUCUUCACGAGGUUUGCGAGGGAUUCACGAGGAUCAUUAAAGUCUCUACUAGAGAUUUCCUUUCUUUGUCAAAUUGUCUGUACCCUACAAAGGGAUCACAGAAAAAUGGAUGUUCUGGGCUCUCCUAUAUGAAUGGGUCUUGCUGCACAGUGGGGCCAUUCAUUUUAUUUGGCCCAUUUAUUGCAAGUACAUUCUAAAUUUGGUCUUAAUUAUUUUUCCUUUCACAAAAAUAUUUUGUGGGAUCUUUUUGAACCCUGACUACUUCCUUCUUGCCCCUUACAACAGAAGCCAGGAGUGUUAUUUUUGUUCUCUUCUAAUUAAAAUAAUUGCUUGGUUCCUUUUAACUAGACUCAUGCAGUUAUUAGCCUAAUAUGUGGAAGGGUGCCAUGGGGUGCUCGAGAAACGAAAUGAAAAGUGAUCAUGUAGCUUCACAUGAAAAAGACGUGGCUGUGCCAACAGCAUUAUGUCCCUUCCACUGCCGAUUUCUAAGGGCCUUGCGUAAACCUGGCUCCUGUAUCCGUGGUAAAAGCCUGAGAAUUAAAAGGAGAGUUCCAUGCUCUUUAGUAAGGUAUUGAGCUGGCUCUGCACAGUCUGAAGAGGGCACUUGAUGUACUGGGCAUGGUACAAACUUGGGUCUGCCUGCCAUCUCUUCCCCCUUUCUCAUUCAGAAUCACUGCCAUUCAAAGACAGAUCCCCCUUGUUUCCUCUGCCAGGGACAGCAGAGGAAGAGGGAUAAAGUGCCUGGAUAUGUGCAUUCAUCGAGUGUCCUGAAGAUGCUCCUUCUGACUGGAAGAGCUGAAGAGACAAGACUUUUCACUAAGUGAUAUUUUUGAUGCAGUCUAAGGAUUUAUCUCAAAAUCCCAGUCACAUUACUUCCUGAGAACAAAAGGUCUGCUGAAGUUGCCUGAUGAAAAGUCCAGCCUUCCAGAAUCUUCCAUUCUACAAGUGCUACCUACAGUGACUCUGAGAGAUUGAUUAUUUAUUACGGAGAUGGGAAGAAAAGGAAACGACCAGCCCGUCACACGUCCCUGGCCCAGAUCUGCCAGUCUCUCUCUUCCCGGUCUCAGGAAACUGUGCUGACAGUCCUCGAGGUGCGGUGGGGAGGCUACUACUGAGUCAACCAGCCCAGCUGAUCGAGACAGCACAAAAAAGCUUUGAUGGGAAAUAACGAAAUCAUUCAAGCUUAUUACAAGGGACAACCGAAUGGAAUCAUUGAAGAAUCCAGAAUUGUCUCGGGUCUUUCCCUUUAGGGGACAGAAGAUGGAGAAGGGAAACCACACACAGAGGUUUAAAUAAUAGGAGGCAAAAAAGAAACUAAUAUUGUCACAAUGGGUUUUCAGGAAAUCUCUGUCCCAGAGAAGUCACUCAUGAGCAUCCUGCAGUCUGGAAGCAAGUCCUGAGUUGGAGCAUAAACAGCUUAAGGUUAUGAGUGGAGAGGACUCAACCCGCUCACCGCAGGAUUCGGCACCUGGGGCCACGCCUCCCGCAACCACAGCCAUUAGCAGGGGAUACAAAUCUGGUCCCGAGGGAGCCUGGAGAAGUUUAAGGGACACAGUGUCGACUUCUUCUGGAAAUGUCACAGAACCUGGCUCCCUUGACAGGAAAUAAGGAAACAAGCUACCUUCCUGGAAAAAAAAAAUCAAACUUCUACUUCUCAAAUUAGUUAAAUGAAGCUGAUCGACGGUUGGGAGCGGAGUCUUUGACAGUUGGCUAAUUGCAGCUGGUACGUUAACUAUGUUUUAACCAGCCCUGGUUGGGAUGUAAGUAAAGAAAAAAAUAAAUAAAGCUUAGGCCUUUCCUAUGCAAAACUCUUCCUGUAAAUAUUACCAUACAAAGGGGAGGCUGACUCUUAAUAUUUUAAUUAAGUCGAUUUAUAAGCAUUAAGAAUUUUAUGACACUGACUUCUUUACUUUUGGGAAAGCUGCCCUUCUUUUCCUUUUGAAUCUACCUUUCAGACGUCCUCUGCCUGUAGUUUUACAUGAAGUAUGCUGUGAAAAGUCUCCCUAGGAAAUGUCUGGUUCCAAGUCUGUGGGCAUCUUUUUGAAAUAAAGGUCUUUGUAAAAAAAAAAAAAAAAAGUAAACCUUUAGUCCAAUUGGUUUAUUUUCUGAUCUGCAGUCCUUUGCUGUUAUUAUUGAAGGACUAACAUUUACAGUAAAAUAAAAAAAUACUGAUUUCCUUAUCGAAAGACUGUUGGACUAAUGCAAGCAGAAAAAAGGCAAUGGAGAUUUAGGAAAAUACAAUAGUGUUUUUUGUAUAUUUGAUUUAUUAUUUACCCUUCCAUAUAAUGUGAAAAUAAUGGUUGUAAUGUGACCCGACUUACAGGAAUUUACAAAGAAUGGAAGAAAACAAACUUCCAGCUUCCACUUUACAUUGUAAUGUUAGUAUACUCUCUCAUAUCACUUUGCUUUCUAAUAAAC
Non-coding RNA from Heterocephalus glaber (naked mole-rat), 4132 nucleotides. Lineage: Eukaryota; Metazoa; Chordata; Mammalia; Rodentia; Bathyergidae. The record is from RefSeq and is a predicted model, not a curated record.